Molecule: long non-coding RNA, 441 nt
Organism: Pipra filicauda (Wire-tailed manakin)
Lineage: Eukaryota; Metazoa; Chordata; Aves; Passeriformes; Pipridae
Exons: 2
Source: RefSeq, a predicted model, not a curated record
CUGCAGCCCAUGGAGGACCAUCGGAGUGCAGAGACCCACCUGCAGCCCAUGGAGAAGCCCAUGUUGGAACAGGUGGAUAUCUGAAGGAGGCUCUGACCUUGUGGAAGGCCCAAGAUGGAGCAGGGUCCUGCCAGAGAUCUGUGGCCUAUGUCAAGAGGAGCCCACAAUGGAGCAGGUUUCUCCCAGGACCUGUCUGGCUGUGACUGAUCAAUGAACCAUGACGAUGUUAGAAGGCCCAGAGAAGAUUUGAAUGGUGACACAUCCAUGAAGCUUCCACAAGAAAGACUGGACAGUUGUCUUCCUUCUGUAUAAAUGAUUACAGCAGUUGAGUGGAUCAGCCGUCAACUGGAUAAAGUAGUUGAGUGAAUCAACAAAUAGUACCAGCUGAAUGGAUCAACCUCUUAUUUGUCCCUCAAUUAAUAAAAAGAACAGAAACAGUUA